CGGUUGAUCCUGCCGGAGGUUACUGCUCUGGGAGUCAGAUUAAGCCAUGCUAGCGGAGGGCAGUUCGGCUGCCCCGCGAAUAGCUCAGUAACACGUGGUCAAUCUGCCCUUGGGAUUGGGAUAACCCCGGGAAACUGGGGAUAAUCCUGAAUAGGCGGGGGUUCUGGAAAUGUCCCUCGCUGAAACGCUACGGCGCCUAAGGACGAGACUGCGGCCGAUUAGGUAGUUGGUGAGGUAAAGGCUCACCAAGCCGAAGAUGGGUACGGGCCCUGAGAGGGGAAGCCCGGAGAUGGAGACUGAGACAAGGCUCCAGGCCCUACGGGGCGCAGCAGGUGCGGAAAUUCUGCAAUGCGUGCAAGCGCGACAGAGUGACUCCCAGUGCCGAUGGUCUAACGACCGUCGGCUUUUCUGGAAUGUAAAAAGUUCCGGGUAAUAAGGGCCGGGUAAGACUGGUGCCAGCCGCCGCGGUAACACCAGCGGCUCGAGUGGUAACCGAUUUUAUUGGGCCUAAAGCGUCCGUAGCCGGACCGACGGGUCCCUUGUGAAAUCGGACGGCUUAACCGUUCGGCUUGCAGGGGAAACUGUUGGUCUUGAGGCUGGUAGGCGCCGAGGGUACUCCGGGGGUAGCAGUGAAAUGCUAUAAUCCUUGGGGGACCGCCAGUGGCGAAAGCGUUCGGCGAGGCCAGACCCGACGGUGAGGGACGAAGGCCAGGGUAGCGAACCGGAUUAGAUACCCGGGUAGUCCUGGCUGUAAAGGAUGUGAGUUAGGUGCUAGGCGUUCCUCGAGAGCGUCCGGUGCCGAAGGGAAGCCAUUAAGCUCACUGCCUGGGAAGUACGGUCGCAAGACUGAAACUUAAAGGAAUUGGCGGGGGAGAC
This 876-nucleotide ribosomal RNA is filed under the name uncultured marine archaeon. Its description in RNAcentral is "bacterial SSU rRNA". It matches the Rfam family "Archaeal small subunit ribosomal RNA", at positions 5 to 878 of the family's 1478-position model. The record is from RNAcentral. RNAcentral also lists the same sequence under 1 other name.